Molecule: long non-coding RNA, 1667 nt
Organism: Melospiza melodia melodia
Lineage: Eukaryota; Metazoa; Chordata; Aves; Passeriformes; Passerellidae
Exons: 7
Source: RefSeq, a predicted model, not a curated record
GACUUAAGCACAAGUUGCAAGCCCUCCCAGUUGCAGCAGGCAGCAAAUGCCUCGGUUUGCUCCUGCUUUGUGAAGAAUAUUUGCUGACAAUCAAAAUGCAAGGGGUGCUGCUUGUUUUGACCAUUUAUUUGGGCGUGCCUCCUGCUUUUGAAAGUCCUGAAGUCACAAUUUACCUGGCUGUGUCUUUGCAGGAGGCCAGUUUUACUUGGCAGCAGAAGGUGUGACUUUGUAGCACGACAGUUCUUUUUUGCUGUCUCCUUGCCAGUGUUCCAUAGCUCCGCAGAUUUGUUUCCCUGUCAGUGCUCAGCAGUUCUCCAGGUUACAGUUAAUAUUGGAAUGGUUACCCUGAGCAAGUCCCUGUGUCACUUUGACAGUGGCCUAGGAAAUGCCUGGAAGAUGAAAACUGAAGUUGGAGGACCUGUGCUUUCAUCUGUGCUGUGGGUGACCAGUGUCUUUGGGGCAACGUGGAGCCAGCACAGAAAGCUUCCAGAAUAACAGCGCCAGGAGCUGCCUUGCAGUGGGUGUAAAACCUCAGUGCACAUUUCUCUGGAUGUCUCCUGUCCCUCCUGAACGCCUUCACAUUGGGCAUUCUCAGUCUUUGAACUCCUGGCAUGUCAAACUUGUGGGCAUUAUCAAACACAUCAGGAGGAUCUGCUACAAUGAAUGAAUGUUCCAGAGGGCAGUGCACACGAGAGAAAAUCCUUGAGCUCAGUGGAUGAGCGCUGCUUGGAGAAUCUGCCUGGAACACUAAGCUCUUGCUUCACACAGAGGCCCACUGGCAGUUUCAGAGUAACAAGAGGAUAAAUGAUGCUGAUCUUUCUCCACACAAUGACACCUUUAAGAGAGAAAGUUACAGUCCAAACCACAUGCAUUCAGAUUGUGCAGCGUUGUGUCCGUGAACUUCCAGAGUUUGCAUUAAAAAGUGACAGGACAUCAGAGUGCCAGAAGCUUCUCAUAUUGUGGCCCUGAAGAGUUUAACAAAACUCAAAGAAAAGCAGCAGCUAGAGACAACCUGGAACUUGGGCAAAGCCUCCUCUUUCAGUGCCUGGGACCUCACACAGUGCUGUGCUGCCCUGCGAGGCUCCUGUACCCAGCAGAGAUGUGACACGGGGGUGGCAGUGUCACCUCCCCACUGCAGCAGCAGCACCCAGGAGUGGGAUCUCAGCACCUCAGGACUGAUGUGCAGAGUGACCAAGACCACCCUUGGGGGGCUCAGAGGUCCUGGAAUGUUGCCAGAAGUGUCUGGUGGUUGGACUUUGAUCCUGCAUGGGAGAUGACACCUGUAUGAGGAUGGGAGGAUUUCACUGGGGUAAAUGAAGGGAUAAGUUAAUUAGAGUGUGAGACACAGGGUUUAAGAUUUCUGUACAGGGGGGUCUAAAGAAGUAAGAUGGAGGAAUUGGGGCGUGUCCUGUCCUUCUUCUUCUUCUUGGCCUCCAUCUUCUGUGGUGAUGUUGGCACUUUGGGAUUGGUUAUUACUAAAGGUGCACUGGUCAAUAAGGGUGAAAGGUAUUGGGGGAAAUAGGUAAAUAUUGUAUCCGUAGUUUUGAGUAUAAAGAUGAGUGACCGCCCCGGGGGCUCUCAGUGUGCUCAUGGCUGGCUGCUGUGCAGACCUCUGUCGGGCCGAGAGAAAAUCUUUUAGAUAAAUAACUAAUAAACACUGGAGACCG